GACGAACGCUGGCGGCGUGCUUAACACAUGCAAGUCGAACGAUGAUCCGGUUUCGGCCGGUGAUUAGUGGCGAACGGGUGAGUAACACGUGGGUAAUCUGCCCUGCACUCUGGGAUAAGCUCGGGAAACUGGGUCUAAUACCGGAUAGGACCUGUGGUCGCAUGGCCAUGGGUGGAAAGCUUUUGCGGUGUGGGAUGGGCCCGCGGCCUAUCAGCUUGUUGGUGGGGUAGUGGCCUACCAAGGCGACGACGGGUAGCCGGCCUGAGAGGGUGACCGGCCACACUGGGACUGAGACACGGCCCAGACUCCUACGGGAGGCAGCAGUGGGGAAUAUUGCACAAUGGGCGGAAGCCUGAUGCAGCGACGCCGCGUGAGGGAUGACGGCCUUCGGGUUGUAAACCUCUUUCAGCAGGGAAGAAGCGCAAGUGACGGUACCUGCAGAAGAAGCACCGGCUAACUACGUGCCAGCCGCCGCCGUAAAAC
Molecule: ribosomal RNA, 483 nt
Filed under: uncultured bacterium
Lineage: Bacteria
Description: bacterial SSU rRNA
Rfam family: Bacterial small subunit ribosomal RNA
Source: RNAcentral